GGAAAAAAGGGGUUGGGGUGGGGAGGAGACAAGGUUUUCUUACGCCCCCCGGCUAUUGUGGGGGGGNUUGUUCCCUUUUCUUGCUCUUCUUUUUCUUCUCAUUCUCAUCUUUUUCCUGCUUUUCCACGUGUGUUUGGAGAGUGGAGGGGGAAGUGUGUGUGUUUGGAGGUAGAAGGUGCAAUGGGAGAAAUAUGGUGAGGCUUGUGUGNGUACGCAGGUGUGUUGGUCACGGCUCUCACAACAUUCACGAUA
RNAcentral lists this ribosomal RNA (252 nucleotides) under Trypanosoma congolense type riverine/forest. RNAcentral describes it as "partial 18S ribosomal RNA". The record is from RNAcentral. Lineage: Eukaryota; Euglenozoa; Kinetoplastea; Trypanosomatida; Trypanosomatidae.